This 1637-nucleotide ribosomal RNA is filed under the name Methylobacter sp. BBA5.1. RNAcentral's name for it is "bacterial LSU rRNA". It matches the Rfam family "Bacterial large subunit ribosomal RNA", at positions 1211 to 2827 of the family's 2925-position model. Lineage: Bacteria; Pseudomonadati; Pseudomonadota; Gammaproteobacteria; Methylococcales; Methylococcaceae. The record is from RNAcentral.
UCCUAUGGAUGAGCGGUAGAGGAGCGUUCUGUACGCCUGCGAAGGUCGAUUGAGAAGUCGGCUGGAGGUAUCAGAAGUGCGAAUGCUGACAUGAGUAACGAUAAUCAGGGUGAAAAACCCUGACGCCGAAAACCCAAGGUUUCCUGCGCAACGCUAAUCGACGCAGGGUUAGUCGGUACCUAAGGCGAGGCCGAAAGGCGUAGUCGAUGGCAAACAGGUUAAUAUUCCUGUACCGGUGGUAACUGCGAUGGGGUGACGGAGAAGGCUAGGUCAGCUGCCGGUUGGAAGUGGCAGUUUAAGCGAGUAGGCAGGUCUCUUAGGCAAAUCCGGGAGACUCUAUGCUGAGACGUGACGACGAGUCGCUCUUUUGAGUGACGAAGUGAUUGAUGCCAGGCUUCCAAGAAAAACCUCUAAGCUUCAGGUUAUCAGUGGCCGUACCCCAAACCGACACAGGUGGGUGGGAUGAGAAUUCUAAGGCGCUUGAGAGAACUCGGGUGAAGGAACUAGGCAAAAUGAUACCGUAACUUCGGGAGAAGGUAUGCCUUUGGUAGGUGAAGGUCCUCGCGACUGGAGCCGAAGGAGGUUGCAAUAAACUGGUGGCUGCGACUGUUUAGCAAAAACAUAGCACUCUGCAAACACGAAAGUGGACGUAUAGGGUGUGACGCCUGCCCGGUGCCGGAAGGUUAAUUGAUGGGGUUAGCUCACGCGAAGCUCUUGAUCGAAGCCCCGGUAAACGGCGGCCGUAACUAUAACGGUCCUAAGGUAGCGAAAUUCCUUGUCGGGUAAGUUCCGACCUGCACGAAUGGCGUAACGAUGGCCACACUGUCUCCACCCGAGACUCAGUGAAAUUGAAAUUGCGGUGAAGAUGCCGUAUACCCGCGGCUAGACGGAAAGACCCCGUGAACCUUUACUAUAGCUUGACACUGGACUUUGAACCUACUUGUGUAGGAUAGGUGGGAGGCUGUGAAGCACCAACGCCAGUUGGUGUGGAGCCAUCCUUGAAAUACCACCCUGGUAUGUUUGAAGUUCUAACCUGGGCCCAUGAUCUGGGCUGGGGACAGUGUCUGGUGGGUAGUUUGACUGGGGCGGUCUCCUCCUAAAGAGUAACGGAGGAGCACGAAGGUACCCUCAGCCUGGUCGGAAAUCAGGCAAUGAGUGCAAUGGCAUAAGGGUGCUUGACUGCGAGAUAGACACAUCGAGCAGGUACGAAAGUAGGUCAUAGUGAUCCGGUGGUUCUGUAUGGAAGGGCCAUCGCUCAACGGAUAAAAGGUACUCCGGGGAUAACAGGCUGAUACCGCCCAAGAGUUCAUAUCGACGGCGGUGUUUGGCACCUCGAUGUCGGCUCAUCACAUCCUGGGGCUGAAGCAGGUCCCAAGGGUAUGGCUGUUCGCCAUUUAAAGUGGUACGCGAGCUGGGUUCAGAACGUCGUGAGACAGUUCGGUCCCUAUCUGCCGUGGGCGUUUGAGAUUUGAGGGAAGCUGCUCCUAGUACGAGAGGACCGGAGUGGACGAACCUCUGGUGUUCCGGUUGUCACGCCAGUGGCAUGGCCGGGUAGCUAUGUUCGGACAGGAUAACCGCUGAAAGCAUCUAAGCGGGAAGCCCCUCCCAAGAUGAGAUCUCACUGGGACCAUGAGUCC